GUGUCAGCAGCCGCGGUAAGACGAAGGAUGCAAGCGUUAUCCGGAUUCAUUGGGUUUAAAGGGUGCGUAGGCGGACUUGUAAGUCAGUGGUGAAAUCUCUUCGCUUAACGAAGAAACUGCCAUUGAUACUGCAGGUCUAGAGUAUAGAUGACGUUGGCGGAAUAUGACAUGUAGUGGUGAAAUACUUAGAUAUGUCAUAGAACACCGAUUGCGAAGGCAGCUAACGAAACUAUAACUGACGCUGAGGCACGAAAGUGCGGGGAUCAAACAGGAUUAGAAACCCCCGUAGUCC
Molecule: ribosomal RNA, 292 nt
Filed under: uncultured bacterium
Lineage: Bacteria
Description: partial 16S ribosomal RNA
Rfam family: Bacterial small subunit ribosomal RNA
Source: RNAcentral